UACAGAGGGGGCAAGCGUUAUUCGGAAUUACUGGGCGUAAAGGGCGCGUAGGCGGCCCGCUAAGUCGAACGUGAAAUCCCCGAGCUCAACUCGGGAACUGCGUCCGAUACUGGCGGGCUUGAAUCCGGGAGAGGGAUGCGGAAUUCCAGGUGUAGCGGUGAAAUGCGUAGAUAUCUGGAGGAACACCGGUGGCGAAGGCGGCAUCCUGGACCGGCAUUGACGCUGAGGCGCGAAAGCUAGGGGAGCAAACGGG
Molecule: ribosomal RNA, 253 nt
Filed under: uncultured bacterium
Lineage: Bacteria
Description: partial 16S ribosomal RNA
Rfam family: Bacterial small subunit ribosomal RNA
Source: RNAcentral